GCAAGGGGGGAAAGAGAGAAAUCAAUUAGAAGCAGAAGGUGCUCCGCAGCCGGGCCGGCAGCGCUGCGGGGGCCGGGGCCCGGCUUUGGCGCUGCCAGCGCCGCCUCACGGAUCCCCUCAGGGCCGUCCCCAGAGGCGAGGUCGGGCAGAAAACGCGGCCAAACAGUGCCCGGUGCUCAAGGGUGUCUGGGCAGAGAGCGAGCAGGCUGGAAUCCCCUCCAGCAACACGGGGCUGCAUCCCACCGGGAGCCUCCAGCUCCUCCCGUGCCAACACCUCCCGUGGCGGAGCAGCCCGGCCUGCCCCGGCCGCGGCUCCCUCUCCGGGGCACCCCCGGGCGCGCUGGCCCUGCCCCGCCUCGCCUCUGCAGAGCUGUUUAACGCGGCUGCAAAGGGACACGGCCCUUCACGGCAGGCUCCCUUUUUGAGUGAAGGAGUGAGCGCGGAGCAGUGCCUCGGCUCACGGGGGCACACGGCUCCAUCGCCGCCUCCUCCCCCGCUCGGCGUCCCGGCAGAGCCGAGCACCAUCGUGCCCUGAGCACACAGCGACGUGCGACCGGCCAUGGAGAGCGCUCCAGGUAGCGGCGACAGAAACAGCUGGCACUUUUCAGUAUAAAUACACCAGUGUAAGGAUCUUCUCCAAAGCAAUGUGUGGUUGCAGCAAUUUUUUAUAAAAAUACAUCCCCACAAAAAACUGAAGAGCUAACUAAGACUGGACAGUUAAUUGAAAGAACAACUGUUACACAGGAAGAGAAAAAAACUGAAUGCAAGAUAAAAAAAAAGGAACAAUAAGACAAGCUGCUGACUGGCUUACAGAAGUCUAAGGGAUGCCUUAGUUGUUGCAGAUUGUGCAGAGAAAACACAAAGCAGAUUGCUAAACCAGCAGGAGGUAGGAGUAUACUGCAUGAUGAAAUUCUUCUUCAUUCUCUCCUUAGCCCAGCUUUCAUGAGUUCUGGAGCAAACCUUUCCCUCCAGUGGCCUGCAUGUCCAGGGUUGAACAUCAAGACAUCACCUCUCACCUACUUCCCCUACCUCAGUAUUUUUCAGAAGCACAACAUGGAAUUGUGAGGAAAUAAAAAAUUCUUCUCCCUUGGAGAAGAUCACAAACUGUAAUACAGUGAAUUUCCAUCCUACUAAUACCCACAUUUUCUUUCAACCCAAGGCUCUCUUGUCACCUUUCACUUUAGCUGUCAUUUUUAAUUAAACUUUUCACAAAGAUUUUUUUCUUUUGGCUUUUGAAUAAAAGAUGAAAACAGUUCAAUAUCUGAAAAGACAUCUAGCCAGUACACGCAAGGCUUUUCUCCUGUUCACAGCAGUCUUUAAAUUGGUACUUUAUGAUACAUACUAUGCUGCAUUAAGUACCCUUGUUAUGGAUUCAGAAUUAAAAGCCUCUCAAAACCCAGAAGUGGAAGCUCUCUAGUCUUGAGAAUAAUUAAAUUUGGUAGUUCAGCAAAGGUUAAACAAGACAGCUGAGACACUUACUGUGUGAUCAGUUUUUCAUACAAACUACCUGUUCCUGCUUCUUAUGCUCCACAACCAAAUUCAGGAUAUUCAAGCGAGCUGCAUGUUUGUUUGCUUC
This is a long non-coding RNA of Passer domesticus (house sparrow), 1576 nucleotides long. RefSeq lists it as uncharacterized. The transcript is spliced from 2 exons. The record is from RefSeq and is a predicted model, not a curated record. Lineage: Eukaryota; Metazoa; Chordata; Aves; Passeriformes; Passeridae.